Molecule: transfer RNA, 71 nt
Filed under: Loxodonta africana (African savanna elephant)
Lineage: Eukaryota; Metazoa; Chordata; Mammalia; Proboscidea; Elephantidae
Rfam family: tRNA
About the family: Transfer RNA (tRNA) molecules are approximately 80 nucleotides in length. Their secondary structure includes four short double-helical elements and three loops (D, anti-codon, and T loops).
Source: Rfam by way of RNAcentral
GCAGUGGUGGUUCAGUGGUAGAAUUCCCCCCUUCCAUGCAGGAGUCCUGGGUUCGACUUUUGGCCAAUGCA